This 410-nucleotide ribosomal RNA is filed under the name uncultured bacterium. RNAcentral's name for it is "partial 16S ribosomal RNA". It matches the Rfam family "Bacterial small subunit ribosomal RNA", at positions 338 to 765 of the family's 1533-position model. The record is from RNAcentral.
CCUACGGGGGGCAGCAGUGGGGAAUAUUGCACAAUGGGGGAAACCCUGAUGCAGCGACGCCGCGUGAGUGAAGAAGUAAUUCGGUAUGUAAAGCUCUAUCAGCAGGGAAGAAAAUGACGGUACCUGAGGAAGAAGCCCCGGCUAACUACGUGCCAGCAGCCGCGGUAAUACGUAGGGGGCAAGCGUUAUCCGGAUUUACUGGGUGUAAAGGGAGCGUUGACGGCAGUGCAGGUCUGGAGUGAAAGGCGGGGGCUCAACCCCCGGACUGCUCUGGAAACUGUACGGCGGGAGUGCAGGAGAGGUAAGUGGAAUGCGUGGUGUAGCGGUGAAAUGCGUAGAUAUCAGGAGGGAAACCAGUGGCGAAGGCGGCUUACUGGACUGUAACUGACGUUGAGGCUCGAAAGCGUGGG